This 1130-nucleotide long non-coding RNA is filed under the name Homo sapiens (human). RNAcentral's name for it is "family with sequence similarity 138 member B (FAM138B)". Lineage: Eukaryota; Metazoa; Chordata; Mammalia; Primates; Hominidae. The record is from RNAcentral.
CACACAACGGGGUUUCGGGGCUGUGGACCCUGUGCCAGGAAAGGAAGGGCGCAGCUCCUGCAAUGCGGAGCAGCCAGGGCAGUGGGCACCAGGCUUUAGCCUCCCUUUCUCACCCUACAGAGGGCAGGCCCUUCAGCUCCAUUCUCCUCCAAGGCUGCAGAGGGGGCAGGAAUUGGGGGUGACAGGAGAGCUGUAAGGUCUCCAGUGGGUCAUUCUGGGCCCAGAGAUGGGUGCUGAAGCUCCCACGCCUGCCUGUGAAAAUGGAGUCCUCUCUCACCUGGGAGAGCCAGGUGCUGCCCCGAGAAGGAUGCAUUUAUGGCUUCAUGAAGUCUUUCCUGACCCCCGAUGCUGCUGACUAUAGAGACAAAGUCUCACUAUGUUGCUCAGGCUGGUCUUGAACUCCUGGCCUCAAGCGAUCCUCCCACCUUAGCCUCCCAAAGAGUUGGGAUUAUAGACAUGAGCCACUGCACCUGGCCGACCUUGGGCAAGUUCUUAAACCCUUCAAAGCCUCAUUUUUCUCCAAUCAUAAAAGGGAAAGAUGGUAAUAUUUUCCCCUCCAAAUUCUUGUCGGAUGCCCUCACAGAAUUGAGAUUAUGUACGUAAAACACCAGGUGCCUAACCCGGCACAGAGCAGGAGGGCUAAGCGUGACAUCCAGCACGUGGUCAGUGGAAUCCAGUAUUCCUACCCACCUCUCUAGUCUCCCCUCCACCCCUCUCCCUUUCAGAGGCACCAAGCUGCUUGUGGUCUUGUCUAUUCCCACUCCCUGCCUGACUGAACAUUUUCUCCACCUCCUGAUCAUCAGCAGCAGAAACUGGCUGCUCUUCCUCCUGGGUAGACAGCCAGACUGUAUUUCCCAGCUGCCCCUGCAGUGAGAUGUGGCCAUCGGAGCCAGCAUUGGCCAAUGGACUCUGCAUGGGAGUGACGCAUGCUGCCUCCAGGCUUGUCCCUAAAACCUCCCACGUGUCCUCCGCCUGCUCUUCCCACUUCCAAGGAGCACGGCAAUUGUGGAAGACCCAGAUUAGUGAUGGCAGAACCAUAGAUGGGAGGAACCUGGGUCCCUGACUUAAAGUAUCAUGGAUUUGGAUGUUCCCUUAGUGAGAAAUAAACUUCCAUUGUGUUUAAGCCUUUA